Molecule: ribosomal RNA, 252 nt
Filed under: uncultured bacterium
Lineage: Bacteria
Description: partial 16S ribosomal RNA
Rfam family: Bacterial small subunit ribosomal RNA
Source: RNAcentral
UACGUAGGGCGCAAGCGUUGUCCGGAAUUAUUGGGCGUAAAGAGCUCGUAGGCGGUUUGUCGCGUCUGCUGUGAAAACCUAAGGCUCAACCUUGGGCUUGCAGUGGGUACGGGCAGACUAGAGUGCGGUAGGGGUGACUGGAAUUCCUGGUGUAGCGGUGGAAUGCGCAGAUAUCAGGAGGAACCCCGAUGGCGAAGGCAGGUCACUGGCCGCAACUGACGCUGAAGAGCGAAAGCAAGGGGAGCGAACAGG